Molecule: long non-coding RNA, 1527 nt
Organism: Papaver somniferum (opium poppy)
Lineage: Eukaryota; Viridiplantae; Streptophyta; Magnoliopsida; Ranunculales; Papaveraceae
Exons: 5
Source: RefSeq, a predicted model, not a curated record
GAAACGUUCGCUUGAUUAUUUUUCCAUUAAAUGCAAAAUUCGUUACUCUCCUUAGCGAUCAAAUAAUAAUUCUCAUUGUUAAUUUUCUGAGAGACUGAAGAUGAAAGAAAGAUCACCCAUCUACAAAUCUAUUAUACCAGGUUGAUGGAAUUGUUUGAGGUUAUGCUCAGAAUCAUCCUCAAUAACAGGUAAGAAAGAAGAUUUGACGAGCCUGGAGAUAAGAAAGAUGUGCAUUCUUAUCACAUCUAUAUCUUUGAUGAAUUCGUUUAAUUUUGGAAGAAGUUCUUAAAACUUAAAAGAAAUCAAAAUGGUCAUCACUAUCAGGUUCCUGAUAAACUAUUGAGAAAGCAUUUAACAUGGUUAUUGAUAGUAAUGUUAUGUGAAUAAUUAAAUUCACGAUUUCAAGGUUAAGAUGAUGGAAUUGAUUAGAAUGGUGGGAUUUUAUUGGGAUGAGGUUUUUCAUUUCAACAAUAAAUCGGAGAUGUGCAAAAAAUAUUUUGAAUAUCAAUUUUAACUGAAACUUCUAUGCUCAGGAUUUGUUUCUCUACAUCCAAUUUGGGUUUAAAUGUGUUUCAUAUAUGCUUUAUUUGGUCUUCAAAUUCAGUCAUCAGUCAUGUAGAAUGCAGGUGACUUCUUAUUGUUUUGAAAUACCUAUUAUUACCUAAUUCACUUUAAAAUCAUACAUAGGUUUGACUUUUUCUAUUCUGUAUAUUCAUUGUUAGCACAAUUAGCAGUGAACUAAUGUUGUAUAAUCAUUUGAUCCCUGAAAAAAGGGAAAACCUUCUUAUUACACUUGCAUUCUAGACUAACAACAGCCAAAAACAAGUGCUUCUAUUAGGUAUUCUUUUUGGAGGGCUACUAAUUAGCUGAACUCAUAUGAGUUUUUGGAUGGUCAUGUGGUAGUUGCUCCAUAUGGGAUUGGUAAAUGCUCUGUAAUAACUAAAUUAAGAGAUGAAAUGAUAGAGUUGGUUUUAUCGUUACUAUCGAGUUGUUGCUUAUGUUACAAAUUGUAGGUGAGUUUCCUUAUCUAACUCUUUGAAUUGUUAUAUAUGCAUGUACUCUAUCUAGAAAUGCUUAUCGGUAAACAUUGGUGCAUUACGUACAUCAUGGGCUCCCAGUCAAAACAUAAUUUAUAUCAAAGAAAUGGUCUGCAAAUCUCCUAUCCUAUUAGGUCAACCACUUAAUGCUUAGUUUCAUUAGCACUUAAAGUUGUCAAUAUUGUUCUCUAUAAGUUAUUGAAAUGCCACCAGAUGUUGAUUUAAUGUAUCUUCUUGCUUUGCAGCCCUUGAAAACAUUAAUGCCUUUCCCAACACCCACUUAUACUUGAUAAUUUUAUGGAUAUAUGAAAUAUUUUCCAUAUUCUGAGAUUGUACUCACGUCUUUUGGUUUGGUGGUGUAUCGUCAAAGCUAUAUCGAAAAAUCACCCAAAGUUGUUUUAUAUCCUGGGUGUAACUUUUCUGGUGAAUAUGAUGUAACUUAUGUUCAUGAAUUUGUUGAAAAUCACCCUAAGUUUUUCGUUUUCUUCAA